Molecule: long non-coding RNA, 860 nt
Organism: Hyaena hyaena (striped hyena)
Lineage: Eukaryota; Metazoa; Chordata; Mammalia; Carnivora; Hyaenidae
Exons: 2
Source: RefSeq, a predicted model, not a curated record
UCCUCCCUCCUGCCCUUCCUCCCUGCCUCCCUUUCUUCCUCCCUCCCUUCCUCUCUCUUUUAAGAAAAAUUGAAAAUGGGUUUAUGUGUGAAAUCAACCAAUUUUUAAAUGCUACAAAAAUAACACUCUGCAAACAAAACACAUUAUUAACUUACUCUCUAUAGGAAGAAGCAAAAGCAGAUUUUUAAUAGCAAAAUGGCCAAAUAGGAAGCAAGAUAGAGACAAAGUACAAGGUAUGAAAAAUCUAUCAAAAGAGAAAGCUGCAUACACUUACACUCAAAGGAGGGGUACCACCCAGGGUGAUAGGUAGGGUCAUCUCAGAACUCAGCUGAAAUUGCCUGGGCCACACACUGCCUGAAUUCUCUAGCCUUUUUCUUCAUUGUCCUUCACAUUUCUGCCUUCCCUAGUGCCAGGCAUGGUGCUAAGCUCUUGAGAACUUUCUCAUGUAGCGCACAGGAUGUUACACCGCUGCGGAGGAAGCAGACACUUGAACAUUGAUGCCAAAAGCGAUGGGAAUCGUGAUCAUAUUAAGGGAGCACCUAGGAAGGACACAUCCACAGAUUGGCAGCUCUACGUAGGACUCUGAGAGAGGAAUAAGACAUGGUUUGGAAGCAAAGGCCAGGAAACCGGCAAGAUGACAAUAAGUUACCUUUGAGGAAAUGUCAGGGAAAUGAGCAAUAUGGAGAGACAAUACACGAGAGGAAACGGACCAGAUCUGUUUGGACUUCACCCUAAAGAUCGAGGUGUAUACCAUUUCCAGCGCGUGGCAAGAUUCCCCUAAAGAGCUCCCCAGCACUCUCCCCAGCAGUCACCUGGUAUCACACAGUGUAUACGCUUCUGUAACUUUUUUUUUUUUUUUU